UAUGUUAAAAGUUUAUCAUGUUGCAAUAUAUUUUUUUGAAUUAUAAGUAACAAAAACUAGACCUUCAGGUCUUGUUAAUCUAAAAAUUCCUCUAACAAUUUAUAUAGUGUUACAAUUUUUUUCAACUUUUAGAAGACAAGUUUUAUGGGAAUUGGAAAUUCUGGAUGAAGAUGGUGAGUGCUAUUGGAACAAUGAAGAUCAAAAG
This 205-nucleotide long non-coding RNA is filed under the name Carica papaya (papaya). Its description in RNAcentral is "long non-coding RNA (CPAP_LNC014374)". The record is from RNAcentral. Lineage: Eukaryota; Viridiplantae; Streptophyta; Magnoliopsida; Brassicales; Caricaceae.